UACGGAGGGUGCAAGCGUUGUCCGGAAUCACUGGGCGUAAAGGGCGCGUAGGCGGCUCAUGAAGGCUGUGGUGAAAGUCCGGGGCUCAACCUCGGAUCGGCCGUGGCGACUCGUGGGCUGGAGCACUGUAGAGGCGGGUGGAAUUCCGGGUGUAGCGGUGGAAUGCGUAGAUAUCCGGAGGAAUACCAAAGGCGAAGGCAGUGUCCUGGCUGGCAUCUGACGCUGAGGAGCGAAAGCGUGGGGAGCGAACAGG
RNAcentral lists this ribosomal RNA (253 nucleotides) under uncultured bacterium. RNAcentral describes it as "partial 16S ribosomal RNA". It matches the Rfam family "Bacterial small subunit ribosomal RNA", at positions 524 to 776 of the family's 1533-position model. The record is from RNAcentral.